Molecule: ribosomal RNA, 454 nt
Filed under: uncultured bacterium
Lineage: Bacteria
Description: bacterial SSU rRNA
Rfam family: Bacterial small subunit ribosomal RNA
Source: RNAcentral
GACGAACGCUGGCGGCGUGCCUAAUACAUGCAAGUCGAGCGGACGAAUCGAAAGCUUGCUUUUGAUUCGUUAGCGGCGGACGGGUGAGUAACACGUGGGCAACCUGCCCUGUAGACGGGGAUAACACCGAGAAAUCGGUGCUGAUACCGGAUAACACGAAAUGUCGCAUGACGUUUCGUUGAAAGACGGCGCAAGCUGUCGCUACAGGAUGGGCCCGCGGCGCAUUAGCUAGUUGGUGAGGUAACGGCUCACCAAGGCGACGAUGCGUAGCCGACCUGAGAGGGUGAUCGGCCACACUGGGACUGAGACACGGCCCAGACUCCUACGGGAGGCAGCAGUAGGGAAUCUUCCGCAAUGGACGAAAGUCUGACGGAGCAACGCCGCGUGAGCGAAGAAGGCCUUCGGGUCGUAAAGCUCUGUUGUUAGGGAAGAACAAGUAACGCAGUAACUGGCG